GACGAACCGUGCGAACGUUAUUCGGAAUCACUGGGCUUAAAGGGCGCGUAGGCGGGUCCGUAAGUCAGGGGUGAAAUCCCACGGCCCGACCGUGGAAGUGCCUCUGAUACUGCGGGCCUCGAGGGGGAUAGGGGCGUGCGGAACUCAGGGUGGAGCGGUGAAAUGCGUAGAUAUCCUGAGGAACACCGGUGGCGAAAGCGGCGCGCUGGAUCCCUUCUGACGCUGAGGCGCGAAAGCCAGGGGAGCAAACGGG
RNAcentral lists this ribosomal RNA (253 nucleotides) under uncultured bacterium. RNAcentral's name for it is "partial 16S ribosomal RNA". It matches the Rfam family "Bacterial small subunit ribosomal RNA", at positions 524 to 776 of the family's 1533-position model. The record is from RNAcentral.